This 634-nucleotide ribosomal RNA is filed under the name Vibrio maritimus. RNAcentral's name for it is "bacterial SSU rRNA". It matches the Rfam family "Bacterial small subunit ribosomal RNA", at positions 121 to 750 of the family's 1533-position model. Lineage: Bacteria; Pseudomonadati; Pseudomonadota; Gammaproteobacteria; Vibrionales; Vibrionaceae. The record is from RNAcentral.
GGAAAUUGCCCUGAUGUGGGGGAUAACCAUUGGAAACGAUGGCUAAUACCGCAUAAUAGCUUCGGCUCAAAGAGGGGGACCUUCGGGCCUCUCGCGUCAGGAUAUGCCCAGGUGGGAUUAGCUAGUUGGUGAGGUAAUGGCUCACCAAGGCGACGAUCCCUAGCUGGUCUGAGAGGAUGAUCAGCCACACUGGAACUGAGACACGGUCCAGACUCCUACGGGAGGCAGCAGUGGGGAAUAUUGCACAAUGGGCGCAAGCCUGAUGCAGCCAUGCCGCGUGUAUGAAGAAGGCCUUCGGGUUGUAAAGUACUUUCAGCAGUGAGGAAGGUGGUGUCGUUAAUAGCGGCAUCAUUUGACGUUAGCUGCAGAAGAAGCACCGGCUAACUCCGUGCCAGCAGCCGCGGUAAUACGGAGGGUGCGAGCGUUAAUCGGAAUUACUGGGCGUAAAGCGCAUGCAGGUGGUUUGUUAAGUCAGAUGUGAAAGCCCGGGGCUCAACCUCGGAAUUGCAUUUGAAACUGGCAGACUAGAGUACUGUAGAGGGGGGUAGAAUUUCAGGUGUAGCGGUGAAAUGCGUAGAGAUCUGAAGGAAUACCGGUGGCGAAGGCGGCCCCCUGGACAGAUACUGACACUCAG